UUGGCUUUUAUUGGAAUGCCUAGAUGCAAUCUAUAGUCAAGUUAUGGAAAAUUCAGGUCACAUAUAAAGUUAAGAAGGCAAAUGAAAAGAACAAUACAAAUCAGACAAAAUUUACAUCUCAAAAUAUCAUGAAAGCAUUUUGACUGGCUUUGCCUAAAAUACUUUGAAUAUCAAUUUCUUUAUUUUUUUCUGUAAGCUAAUUCUUUCCAUUAUACAGUCCCCCACCCCCCAACUCUUAGAAAAAGGUCUUUUGUUUACAUAUUCCCCAAGGUCACUAUUUCUUGUAAAAGCAUGUCCAGAUCACAAGUCUUUUUAGAAAGAAAUAGGCUCAUUAUACCUACUAACAAGACACUAAUUGGGUUGAUUUGACUUCAUCUAAAAUAAGCACCAAGAGAUACUCCCAAUCUGUUACUUAUCGGUGCCAGUGUAGAGGACCAGUCCAUGUCGAGAAGAGGGUAGGAUUAUGAUUUCACUUCCGUCAUGUGGUACAAGCUUUUCAUGGUCAAUACAUCAGAGACAUUUCUGAGAAUUUAGACUCAGAGCCUAUUUCAACCAAAAGUACUUACAGCAUGCUAAAUACAGUCCUGCAGAAAUUCCAUCGAACAGAACUGCAAACACCUAAGUUAACAGUUAAAAAAUAAAAUGUAAAACAGAGCCAUGUUUAUGUGGUUUGAAAUCUCAUAGUUUUCUAAAUCGGGGCUUCAUAAUACUUGCCAAAGGAUUUCCAGGAUAAAAAAUAUUAAUGCUAAUCUGUGCUUUCAUUCUAAUAAAAUAUCAGCAUUCAUUAGAAGAUUAAUUACUUCGGUAUGCUCUACCAAAUACACAAAGACAGUAAUAGCACUGAUACUGUAAAUUCAGUAGCUAUUUUGAAACUUUCCCAGCCAAUCUGUUUAAUAAACACGCCUACUGUGCAAUUUAGAGUAUGUGAUACAUACAAAGCAGUUAGAAAAUUAUUUUCAAUACAUCACUUGAACCUUUAUAUUUACGACAUGUUCACUUGCUAUAUUUUAUCACCAUUAUACAUAGAGGAAAACAGUGUGUACUAUAGCUCAAUGAACUGAGAAAUAUUUUCUAAAAAUAUUUUUGUGGCUGAAUUUAGUGCUCACGAAAGAGAUUUGCAAGAGCGGCUGGGCCGACACAGAAGUGCAGAUGGCUGUGCUCGGUCCCGCUCGCACGCGUGCAGGAGGGCACGGCUGUCAAUUCACUUCCAGCUGGAUCUGCCUCCACCACCCCCCCGGCUUCCCCGAGACGGAGCAGAGGCUGCCAUUCAAACCAGCUCCCAGGACGGUUGGGUCGUGAGGGCUUACAGGAGCUUUUGUCUCCCUUUUGUGUCUCUCUUGGUGACCUGACGGUCCAAACCCAAGACUAGCAGAGUGACCCUGACCUUCUCCAUCUGGCCCUCGCACCGCUGCUCGGUUUCUGCUAUCUUUCCCAGGUCUUAAGACACAUGUUUACGGUCACGACUACAUCAGAUCCUUUCCUUCUCACCAACGUUUCCCGGAGCAUCUGAUGUGGUCUCUCGCCUCCAUCAUGAGACGGAGCUUCAAGGAAUGGUGACAGUAAAAACCCUGUGGUUAGUUCUAUCAACUCCCCUCGACUGCCAGGGACAGGAGAGGACCUCUCCGGCCCAGUUGCUAUUUUAUUUUAUUUUCGUAUCUUCUGCUAUAUUCCACCAGCCUUAGUUUUCUACUGUGCCUCUUAGUCGAUAAUGGUUGAGGACACUGGCCAGAUGAAAAAGAGAAGAAAGAGGAGGGAGCAGUUCUCUGAUUAGCCACCCACUUAGGAUUGCACUGUCCUAUCCAUCUAGUGAUAGAAAGUUGCACGUUUUUUUUUUCAACCUAAUACAAAAAUAUCAACACUUCUGGACAUUAUAGGCAUAAGUCGUUAUAUCUCUACAAUAUAAUAAUUUAUACUGUACAGCUAUAACAGAUAACAAAAGGUGCAAUCCUUUUUAAAAAAAUCACACAGUUCACAUGUUUUUAUCAUUUUAUUUUUAA
Molecule: long non-coding RNA, 1997 nt
Filed under: Canis lupus familiaris (dog)
Lineage: Eukaryota; Metazoa; Chordata; Mammalia; Carnivora; Canidae
Description: lncRNA (ENSCAFG00000052147.1)
Source: RNAcentral